This 1760-nucleotide long non-coding RNA is filed under the name Vulpes vulpes (red fox). Its description in RNAcentral is "lncRNA (ENSVVUG00000001189.1)". Lineage: Eukaryota; Metazoa; Chordata; Mammalia; Carnivora; Canidae. The record is from RNAcentral.
AUGCACCUCAUAAGCUUGCUAUCAUACGUAUAUAAGCGGUCUCUCUACGUCUUUGUGAUUGCCAAUUGCUUUCUUCACCAGAUGCCUCCUACCUGGGCAGCUUUUCUUCUCAUUUGCACAGUAGGUGCUCUCACAAGACUUCUGUGUUAUCUAAGAGGAAACAAAGGAAAAUGGAAACAGAUGCCAAUCAAGUCUCCCUCUGUGAGUUAUCUAUAUUCCCUCCCUAGAACUCACAUCUUAUUUUUAGGACAUUAUUUUUUUUAUUAAGUUUUUAUUCUAAUUCCAGUAUUGUUAACAUACAGCUCUAUAUUAGUUCCAGGUGUGCUACAUGGGGAUUUAACAAUUCCAUGUAUCACCCGGUGCUCAUCACAAGUCCUUAAUCCCUAUCACCUACUUCACCCCACAGCCUACCCACCCACCUCCUUUCUGGUGACCGUCAGUUUGUUCUCUAGAGCUAAGGGUGUUUCUUGGUUUCUCUCUCUCUAUCUCUCUCUCUCUUUUUAAAGCUUUUAUCCAUUUAUUCAUGAGAGAGGCAGAGACACAGGCAGAGGGAGAAGCAGGCUCCCUGUAGGGAGCCCGAUGCGGGACUCGAUCCCAGGACUCCAGGAUCAUGCCCUGAGCCAAGGGCAGAGGCUCAACCACUGAGCCACCCAGGUGCCUCAUUUGUUUUAUUUGUUUUGCUUUUUAAAUUCCACAUAUGAGUGAAAUCAUAAAGAAUUUACCUUUCUCUGACUCAUACACGUGUAUGUGCUGCUUCCAUAACUUGGCCAUACAUAAUGCUGCUAUAAACACACCUUUAAAAUUAGUGUUUUUAUUUCCUGAGUAAAUACUCAAUAGUGUGAUUACUGAAUCAUAGAGUAGUUCUAUUUUAGACUCUCAGAGGAGCCCCCAUACUGUUUUCCACAGUGGCUGCACCAGUUUGCAUUCCCACCAGCCGUGUUGAGAGGGCUCCCCUUUCUCCACAUCCUCCCCAACACUGUUUGUUUCUGUGUUUCUGAUUUUAGCCAUUCUGACAGGUGUGAGGUGAUACCUCACUGUAGUUUUGAUUUGCAUUUCCCUGAGGCUAAGCGAUGAUGAGUAUCUUUUCAUGUGUCUGCUCACCAUCUGGACGUCUUCUUUGGAAAAAAUAUCUGUUCCUGUCUUCUGCCCAUUUUUACAUUGAGUUGUUUUUUCGGGCACUGAGUUGUAUAAGUUCUUUAUAUAUUUUGGAUACUAACCCUUAACUAGAUAAGUCAUUUGCAAAUAUCUUCUUCCAUUCAAUAGGUUGCCUUUGAAUUUUCUUGAUUACUUCCUUCACUGUGCAGAAGCUUUUUAUUUUGAUGCAGCCCAAUGGUUUAUUUUUUGCUAUUUUCCUUGCCUCAGGAAUCAUAUAGAGAAAAAUUUUGCUACAGCUGAUGUCAAAGAAGUUACUGCCUAUAUUCUCUUCUAGGAUUUUCAUGCUUUCAGGUCUCACAUUUAGGUCUUUAACCCAUUUUGAGUUUAUUUCUGUGUAUGGUAUUAAGAAAGGCAUCCAGUUUCAUUCUUUUGCAUGUCGCUGACCAGUUUUUCUAAGACCAUUUGUAGAAGUAGAACUUACAUCUUAAUGGGCAUCUUAAUCUUAUGCAUUAUAAGUCUUGUCCAAAAAGUCCUCAUAUCAGAAAAGUUCCGACUAAGCCAAGAAAUAGUCAUUCCUCAUUCAAAGCUUAAAAAUUGCUCAGCUCUUACUGGAAUAUCCUUAGGAAAAAAAUAAAUCUCAAAAGCAAGAUUAAAUAUUCUAAAAU